Molecule: ribosomal RNA, 81 nt
Filed under: Trebouxia sp. URa3
Lineage: Eukaryota; Viridiplantae; Chlorophyta; Trebouxiophyceae; Trebouxiales; Trebouxiaceae
Description: partial 26S ribosomal RNA
Rfam family: Eukaryotic large subunit ribosomal RNA
Source: RNAcentral
UCGACCUGAGGUCAGGCAAGAACACCCGCUGAACUUAAGCAUAUCAAUAAGCGGANNNNAAGAAACUAACUAGGAUUCCCU